CAGUCGCCGCGGUAAUACGAAGGGGGCUAGCGUUGUUCGGAUUUACUGGGCGUAAAGCGCACGUAGGCGGAUUCUUAAGUCAGAGGUGAAAUCCCAAGGCUCAACCUUGGAACUGCCUUUGAUACUGGGGAUCUUGAGUUCGGGAGAGGUGAGUGGAACUGCGAGUGUAGAGGUGAAAUUCGUAGAUAUUCGGAAGAACACCAGUGGCGAAGGCGGCUCACUGGCUCAUUCUAGACGCUGAGGUGCGAAAGCGUGGGGAGCAAACAGGAUUAGAUACCCGCGUAGUCCCUGUCUCUUAUAC
Molecule: ribosomal RNA, 301 nt
Filed under: uncultured bacterium
Lineage: Bacteria
Description: partial 16S ribosomal RNA
Rfam family: Bacterial small subunit ribosomal RNA
Source: RNAcentral